GUUAUUCGUCACAAUUCAGUUGGAAUUUUGACGAGCCGGUCCUGUUUUUCCAGCCGAAGAUAAACAAAAAAUAAGAUGUAUCAAAGAGUUUUGGGAACUGUCGCUCUUAUCUUAGUCAUAUUCAGAUUGAUCGUUGAAGCUUCUCAUGAUGGACUGGAUUCAGAUAACAGCUACGAUGCCUACGAUACUUACCUAGUAAAUCCUGAUUCUUAAAAUUAUGAAUAAAUUUUUCUUUU
Molecule: long non-coding RNA, 236 nt
Organism: Spodoptera litura
Lineage: Eukaryota; Metazoa; Arthropoda; Insecta; Lepidoptera; Noctuidae
Source: RefSeq, a predicted model, not a curated record